This 497-nucleotide ribosomal RNA is filed under the name uncultured bacterium. RNAcentral's name for it is "partial 16S ribosomal RNA". It matches the Rfam family "Bacterial small subunit ribosomal RNA", at positions 28 to 507 of the family's 1533-position model. The record is from RNAcentral.
GAUGAACGCUGGCGGCGUGCCUAAUACAUGCAAGUCGAGCGAACAGACGAGGAGCUUGCUCCUUCGACGUUAGCGGUGGACGGGUGAGUAACACGUAGGUAACCUACCUAUAAGACUGGGAUAACUUCGGGAAACCGGAGCUAAUACCGGAUAAUAUUUCGAACCGCAUGGUUCGAUAGUGAAAGAUGGCUUUGCUAUCACUUAUAGAUGGACCUGCGCCGUAUUAGCUAGUUGGUAAGGUAACGGCUUACCAAGGCAACGAUACGUAGCCGACCUGAGAGGGUGAUCGGCCACACUGGAACUGAGACACGGUCCAGACUCCUACGGGAGGCAGCAGUAGGGAAUCUUCCGCAAUGGGCGAAAGCCUGACGGAGCAACGCCGCGUGAGUGAUGAAGGUCUUCGGAUCGUAAAACUCUGUUAUUAGGGAAGAACAAACGUGUAAGUAACUGUGCACGUCUUGACGGUACCUAAUCAGAAAGCCACGGCUAACUACGUG